UCUGCUCAAUGAUUUUUUAAAUUGCUGUGGUAUUUUGACUAUACAAAGGUAUUGAAAUAAGAUUUUAAUUGAAUGCUAAGAGAAUGGAAUUUCAGGGAAAAGUUUUUUUAAAUUUAAUAAUUAAAGUUAUUUUAAUUUGUGAAGAAACAAUUAUAUAAAUUAAGGACAAGAAGACCCUAAGAAUUUAAGAAUUCUUAUGUUACUUAAAUAUAAACUAGGAAUUCUUAGUUGGGGCAACUAAAAAACAUUAUAAACUUUUUUUCUUUAAAAUGACCCAUUAUUAAUGAUAAUAUGAUUAAAUACUCUAGGGAUAACAGCGU
Molecule: ribosomal RNA, 320 nt
Filed under: Dermacentor reticulatus
Lineage: Eukaryota; Metazoa; Arthropoda; Arachnida; Ixodida; Ixodidae
Description: partial large subunit ribosomal RNA
Source: RNAcentral